Molecule: long non-coding RNA, 228 nt
Filed under: Citrus sinensis (sweet orange)
Lineage: Eukaryota; Viridiplantae; Streptophyta; Magnoliopsida; Sapindales; Rutaceae
Description: long non-coding RNA (CSIN_LNC003190)
Source: RNAcentral
UUGAAAGUUAUUUCCCCUGGGUACUAUUUGGUGCAGUUUGUGAUGUAUGUAUGUAUGAAUUCCAUGUUUGCUGAUGUAUGUUAUUCAAUGUGGAGUUAUGUCACAUAAUUAUGCAUAAGCACUAGUACACUAUAUUAUUAUUAUUAUUUUAAUAUAUAUAAUUACAUCCACUCACUGAGCCGCAAGCUCACUAUUUUCUUAUUUACCCCUUUCCUCCCAAGAUUCCGC